RNAcentral lists this ribosomal RNA (496 nucleotides) under uncultured bacterium. RNAcentral's name for it is "partial 16S ribosomal RNA". It matches the Rfam family "Bacterial small subunit ribosomal RNA", at positions 28 to 506 of the family's 1533-position model. The record is from RNAcentral.
GAUGAACGCUGGCGGCGUGCCUAAUACAUGCAAGUCGAGCGAACAGACGAGGAGCUUGCUCCUCUGACGUUAGCGGCGGACGGGUGAGUAACACGUGGAUAACCUACCUAUAAGACUGGGAUAACUUCGGGAAACCGGAGCUAAUACCGGAUAAUAUAUUGAACCGCAUGGUUCAAUAGUGAAAGACGGCUUUGCUGUCACUUAUAGAUGGAUCCGCGCCGCAUUAGCUAGUUGGUAAGGUAACGGCUUACCAAGGCAACGAUGCGUAGCCGACCUGAGAGGGUGAUCGGCCACACCGGAACUGAGACACGGUCCAGACUCCUACGGGAGGCAGCAGUAGGGAAUCUUCCGCAAUGGGCGAAAGCUUGACGGAGCAACGCCGCGUGAGUGAUGAAGGUCUUCGGAUCGUAAAACUCUGUUAUUAGGGAAGAACAAAUGUGUAAGUAACUAUGCACGUCUUGACGGUACCUAAUCAGAAAGCCACGGCUAACUACGU